AGUAAAUGCAGAAAGGUUGCUAGAAGCAUAGUGAUUUCAUAGUAAUUUCAGCUAAUAAUCCAGUGUUUUUGAACUAGAUCCAGUGUUGUUUGAUAACAUAAUAAUUGUAAAGGAAAGUGUAACACGUUUUGGUGCAAAGAUUACAAAAUGAGUAAAAUCAGAUGUAUUCGUCCAUUCAAAGACAUUCAGUGUUCGAAAGAGCUGCGAUAUCUCACGGAUGGUAUCAUCCAAAAACUAAAGUCAAUUGGAUUUUCCAAGGUAUCCACACUGAACACCAAGGAUUUUCGUAUUUGUUCGUCUUGCCGUCUACAUAUUGAUUCAAGAGCUCACCUCACCCAAAACGAAGAACAAAGCGUAGCCGGUGGCUCAAGGAUGCCAACUGUUCAGACCAUACCUGUUGUACAUGAUUCGAAAGUUUGGUCACGAUACCAUCAGCGUCAACGCUAGGCACAAUUCAAUCAAAUGAAGACUUCACGAUGCCUGUAGACGUCGAAAUAUUCAACCGAGGAAUAGCAGCUAUUCGUGUUUCGCCUAUAGAUUUAGGUAAGGUUAAAAAUGUUCACUAUCCUGAAAAAAAGUGCGCUGAAAUCGUCGAAGGUGUACGAAGAAAUCUUUUUAAAUUAGACGCUAAAACAGAAAAAGCAAACGAGUUUAAUGAAGUCAUAGAAAAUAUGAAAAUUACAUUUUUAAAUUCAGCCACAAGGCAAGAAAAACUAUCAAUUUUAUCAUUGUUACCAAAAUCAUGGUCAGUACAAAAAAUUGUAGACGAAUUUAAAACUAGUAGAAAUAUGGCAUCAGAUGCAAGAAAGGAAAAAAAUAAUGUAUUAGAUUCAUCUCAAGGUUCAAGCUCUGGAAAAGCUUUGAGUAAUGAAACAAAAGAACUGGUUUUGAAUUUUUUUGAGGACGAUGAUAUAAGCCGUGCAAUGCCAGGCCAAAGAGAUUUUGUUAGCGUAAAGACAGGAAAUAAGAGAUUAGCUGUUCAGAAAAGAUUGUUAAUGAUGACAUUAAGAGAAGCUUUUAAUCGCUUUAAUGAAGUGUACGUCAAUGUAAAAAUAGGGUUUUCAUCAUUUGCAAGCCUCCGGCCAAGGCAAUGUAAACUAUUGACUAUCACAGGAACACAUAAUGUUUGCGUUUGCACUACGCAUGAAAAUGUCAAUUUAAUUCUACAUAGCUUAAAAAAAUACAAUGUCUUGAAUGAUCUAAAAACAUUAACGAA
Molecule: long non-coding RNA, 1216 nt
Organism: Aedes albopictus (Asian tiger mosquito)
Lineage: Eukaryota; Metazoa; Arthropoda; Insecta; Diptera; Culicidae
Exons: 2
Source: RefSeq, a predicted model, not a curated record